GUGCUCACCUUGGGAGCACAUAUGCCAAAAUUAGAAUCAUACAGAGAUUAGCAUGUCCUCUGCAAAGAUGAGGUAAAUUUGUGAUACAUUUCAUAUUUUC
RNAcentral lists this small nuclear RNA (100 nucleotides) under Bison bison bison. The record is from RNAcentral. Lineage: Eukaryota; Metazoa; Chordata; Mammalia; Artiodactyla; Bovidae.